GCGAGUGAAGCGGCAACAGCUCAAAUUUGAAAGCUGGCCCUUUUAGGGUCCGCAUUGUAAUUUGUAGAGGAUGAUUCGGCGAGGGCUCCUGCCUAAGUCCCCUGGAACGGGGCGUCAUAGAGGGUGAGAAUCCCGUAUGCGGUAGGUUGCCUUAGCCAUGUGAAUCUCCUUCGACGAGUCGAGUUGUUUGGGAAUGCAGCUCUAAAUGGGAGGUAAAUUUCUUCUAAAGCUAAAUACCGGCCAGAGACCGAUAGCGCACAAGUAGAGUGAUCGAAAGAUGAAAAGCACUUUGGAAAGAGAGUUAAAAAGUACGUGAAAUUGUUGAAAGGGAAGCGCUUGCAACCAGACUUGUCCGCAGUUGCUCAGCCGGUCUCCUGACCGGCGUACUCUUCUGCGGCCAGGCCAGCAUCAGUUCGGGCGGUCGGAUAAAGGCCUCGGGAAUGUGGCUCCUCUCGGGGAGUGUUAUAGCCCGGGGUGCAAUGCGGCCAGCCUGGACUGAGGAACUCGCUUCGGCAAGGAUGCUGGCGUAAUGGUUGUAAGCGACCCGUCUUGAAACACGGACCAA
Molecule: ribosomal RNA, 565 nt
Filed under: Lasiodiplodia theobromae
Lineage: Eukaryota; Fungi; Ascomycota; Dothideomycetes; Botryosphaeriales; Botryosphaeriaceae
Description: LSU rRNA
Rfam family: Eukaryotic large subunit ribosomal RNA
Source: RNAcentral